AGUUUCUUGUGCUUUUUUAAGAAAUGUUUUCUGCUCGGUGAUUUUAAACAGCUGCGGUAAUUUGACCGUGCAAAGGUAGCAUAAUCAUUUGCCUUAUAAUUGAAGGCUGGAAUGAAUGGGGUUAUGAGAUUUUUUCUUUAUUUGGAAGGGGUUAAUAAAUUUCUUAUUUAGUGAAGAAGCUAGAAUUAAAGAGGGGGACAAGAAGACCCUUUUGAGCUUUAUUAGUAGCUUUUUUUUUGUGAAGUGGGCUAAUUUGGUUGGGGCGACCAAGGAAUAGGGAUCUUCCUUUAUUAAUUUUGAUCCGAAGGUUUCGAUUAACAGAGUAAGUUACCAUAGGGAUAACAGCGUGAUUUCUUCUGUGAGUUCUUAUUAAAGGGGAAGAUUGCGACCUCGAUGUUGACUUAUAAUUUUCCGAAGGUGUAGUAGCUUUAAGGGUGGGUCUGUUCGACCUUUAAAAUUUU
RNAcentral lists this ribosomal RNA (461 nucleotides) under Arhochmus korotneffi. Its description in RNAcentral is "partial 16S ribosomal RNA". It matches the Rfam family "Bacterial large subunit ribosomal RNA", at positions 1817 to 2597 of the family's 2925-position model. Lineage: Eukaryota; Metazoa; Nemertea; Enopla; Monostilifera; Prosorhochmidae. The record is from RNAcentral.